Molecule: ribosomal RNA, 254 nt
Filed under: uncultured bacterium
Lineage: Bacteria
Description: partial 16S ribosomal RNA
Rfam family: Bacterial small subunit ribosomal RNA
Source: RNAcentral
UACGGGGGGAGCAAGCGUUGUUCGGAUUUACUGGGCGUAAAGGGCGCGUAGGCGGUCAGCACAAGUCAGUUGUGAAAUCUCCGGGCUUAACUCGGAAAGGUCAACUGAUACUGUGCGACUAGAGUGCGGAAGGGGCAACUGGAAUUCUCGGUGUAGCGGUGAGAUGCGUAGAUAUCGAGAGGAACACCUGCGGCGAAGGCGGGUUGCUGGGCCGACACUGACGCUGAUGCGCGAAAGCCAGGGGAGCGAACGGG